RNAcentral lists this ribosomal RNA (253 nucleotides) under uncultured bacterium. Its description in RNAcentral is "partial 16S ribosomal RNA". It matches the Rfam family "Bacterial small subunit ribosomal RNA", at positions 524 to 776 of the family's 1533-position model. The record is from RNAcentral.
UACGAAGGGGGCUAGCGUUGCUCGGAUUGACUGGGCGUAAAGGGCGCGUAGGCGGUUCGUACAGUCAGACGUGAAAUUCCUGGGCUCAACCUGGGGGCUGCGUUUGAUACGUGCGGACUUGAGUGCGGAAGAGGGUCGUGGAAUUCCCAGUGUAGAGGUGAAAUUCGUAGAUAUUCGGAAGAACACCGAUGGCGAAGGCAGCCAUCUGGACCGACACUGACGCUGAGGCGCGAAAGCGUGGGGAGCAAACAGG